GUAAAAUGCGUUGAUCCCCACGGGAACACCAGUGGCGAAGNCGGUUCACUGGUAGAAGACUGACGCUGAGACACGAAAGCUAGGGUAUCGAAGCAGAUUAGAGACCUGCGUAGUCCUAGCCGUAAACGCAUGCUUGCUAGCUGCAUUUCCGCCCCUUCGGGGGUUAGGUGUGGCGAAGGUAACCCGUUAAGCAAGCCGCCUGGGGAUUACGGUCGCAAGACUAAAACUCAAAGGAAUUGGCGGGGAGGCACACAACCAGUGGAACAUGUGGUUUAAUUCGAAACAAACCGAAGAACCUCACCUGGGUUUGACAUGUAGCUGCUCAUCCUAUGAAAGUAGGACUCCUUCGAGGGUGCUACACAGGUGCUGCAUGGCUGUCGUCAGUUCGUUCCGUGAGGAGUGCCCUUAAGUGGGACAACGAACGCAACCCCCAUCGUAUGUUAUAUCUGUCAUACGAAACUGCCUUGCCGUUGGCGAGGAGGAAGGAGGGGCAGACGUCAAGUCUGCAUGGUCCCUAUGCCCAGGGCUACACACAUGUUACAAUGAGAAGGAACAAUGAGCAUUGCGAACUCGCGAGGGUAAGCAAAUCUCAGAAAUCUUCUCUCAGUGGGGAUUGGAGUCUGCAAUUCGACUCCAUGAACGCGGAAUUGGUAGUAAUCGCGGGUCAGCUAUACCGCGGUGAAUACGUUCUUGCCUCUUGCACACACCGCCCGUCAAGCCAACAAAGUCGGGGUGAUAUGAAUCUCGACCAAUGUCGAGGGAA
RNAcentral lists this ribosomal RNA (763 nucleotides) under uncultured organism. Its description in RNAcentral is "bacterial SSU rRNA". It matches the Rfam family "Bacterial small subunit ribosomal RNA", at positions 681 to 1460 of the family's 1533-position model. The record is from RNAcentral.